Long non-coding RNA from Thalassophryne amazonica, 154 nucleotides. RefSeq lists it as uncharacterized. The transcript is spliced from 3 exons. Lineage: Eukaryota; Metazoa; Chordata; Actinopteri; Batrachoidiformes; Batrachoididae. The record is from RefSeq and is a predicted model, not a curated record.
CCCUACCAUGCUACAUGUGUAUUCAUUUUUCAUGUGGUGAUGACUUACUUGCCAGCGACAUGUGCAUUUUCAAUAAAAGCCAGAGCGGCCUCCAGGCCUUUAAGCUGAGCCACAGCAUUAGAAUCGGUCACAAACUUCUUUAUUAGGCCCAGGU